This 2100-nucleotide ribosomal RNA is filed under the name Candidatus Woesebacteria bacterium GW2011_GWE1_45_18. RNAcentral's name for it is "bacterial LSU rRNA". It matches the Rfam family "Bacterial large subunit ribosomal RNA", at positions 13 to 2076 of the family's 2925-position model. The record is from RNAcentral. Lineage: Bacteria; Candidatus Woeseibacteriota.
AAAACGCAGACAGUGGAUGCCUUGCCUCUUACUUCCUAAGAAGGACGUACAUGGCGACGAAACUCGUCGGGGAGCUGCCACGAAGCUUUGAUCCGGCGGUGUCCGAAUGGGGAAACCCACCGCGUAAGCGGUACUUAAAACCCAAAGGGUUCGAGUAAUCGAAUCUAUAAGUUUUAGGAGGGAACCACCCGAACUGAAACAUCUAAGUAGGGUGAGGAAGAGAAAUCAACGAGAUUGCGUCAGUAGCGGCGAGCGAAAGCGCAAGAGCCUAAACCAUCCUUUGCUCCGCAAGGAGUUUUGGAUGGGGUUGCGGGACUCCGAUCUGGGAGUAGUUUGGAUAGAAGAACAACUCGGAAUAGUUGGCCAGAGAAGGUGAAAGCCCUGUAAAUUAAAUCUAAAUUACCUCUAGGAGUAUCCCAAGUACCAUGGGGCACAUACCCUGUGGGAAUCUGGGGGAACCAUCCUCCAAGGCUAAAUAAAGUAAGAGAGCGAUAGCGAACUAGUACCGUGAGGGAAAGGCGAAAAGAAGGGCGGAACGCCCAGUGAAAUAGAACCUGAAACUAUCUGCGGACAAACCGAGAGAGCCGUGCUUGCACGGUGAUCUCGUGCCUAUUGAAGAAUGAACCGGCGAGUUGUCGUACACAUCAAAAGUCUAAGGGCAGCAAUGCUCGUAGGCGUAGGGAAACCGAGUCUUAAAAGGCGAAUAGGUGUGUGUGGCAGACCCGAAACCAGGCGAGCUAACCGCGAGCAGGGUGAACCCCGGCGAAAGCUGGGGGGAGGCCCGAACCCGUUGUCGUUGCAAUGACAUGGGAUGACUUACGGUUAGAGGCAAAAUACCAACCGAGCUUGGAGAUAGCUGGUUCUCCCCGAAAGGUCUAUAGGGACCGUGGUGCUUAAAGUGCGUUGGGGGUAGAGCACUGGAUGGGUAAGGGAGCGUAAGCAACUUUACUCAACCAAACUCCGAAUCCUAGCGUAUGUUCGCACUAGACAGUCACAUCGGGCUAAGCUGAUGUGGCGAGAGGGAAACAUCCCAGACUUUCAGCUAAGGCCUCUAAAUCUAUCUUAAGUUUAAAAGGAAGUUCUUUUCCAAAGACAGCCAGGAGGUUGGCUCAGAAGCAGCCACCCUUUAAAGAAAGCGUAACAGCUCACUGGUCGAUUGGAAAGGGGCGCCUAAAAUUUAUCGAGGAUAAAGGUAGUGCCGAAGCUAAAGAUUUGCCGCAAGGCAUCUGGUAGGGGAGCGUUCCAUAAGCAGUGAAGUCGUCUUGUAAGAGAUGGUGGAGCUUAUGGAAGUGAGAAUGCCGGUAUGAGUAGCGUACAAUCCCAGUGAGAAUCUGGGACACCGAAUACCCAAGGAUUCCGUCGCUAGGUUCGUCCACGACGGGUUAAUCGGUACCUAAGGCGAGGCCAAUUUGGCGUAGUCGAAGGACAACUAGUCAAAAUUCUAGUAUUUAUUUUGAUUCGUUUCCGCGCAAGCGGCAUGCGCAAGCAUGAUAACUGGGGGAUGACUUGGGUGGAUAGUUGGAGCCGGAACGUGAAGUCCGGUGUAAGCUGUUAAGUAGUAUCAGCUGGUAAAUCCGCUGAAACGAUUAAUUGAGCAGUGAUGCAAAGUCCUACGAGAGUGGGGCAAUUCCGACGAUUUCACCUAACAAGAAAAGUCUCGCAGUGAGAAUCAAAGUAAGCCGUACCACAAACCGACACAGGUGGGUUGGGCGAGUAGCCUAAGGUGAGCGAGAGAAGGAUGUUCAAGGAAUUCGGCAAAAAAUCUACCCGUAACUUUGGGAGAUGGGUUGCCCCGAUUAUAUCGGGGCUGCAACUAAAGAUUACUAGUCGACUGUUUAUCAAAAACACAGGUCCCUGCGAAGCCGAAAGGCACGGUAUAGGGGCCAGUGCUGGUAAGUUAAGCGGAUGGGUGUCCCGAUUUAAUCGGGAUGCUCUGAAGUUAAGCUCCAGUAAACGGCAGCAGUAACUAUAACUGUUCUACGGUAGCGAAGUUCCUCGACAGAGUUCCGACCCGCACGAAUGGCGUCACGAGCUAGUAACUGUCUUGAACAUUCACUCGGCGAAAUUGCGUUGGCUGUGAAGACGCGGCCUUGUUCCACC